Molecule: long non-coding RNA, 390 nt
Filed under: Homo sapiens (human)
Lineage: Eukaryota; Metazoa; Chordata; Mammalia; Primates; Hominidae
Description: non-protein coding lnc-FOXL2NB-6:2
Source: RNAcentral
AUGGCACCAAAGAGAAAAAGGAAGCCCCUGCCUCUCCCAAAGCUGAAGCCAACAAAGGCUUUAAAGGCCAAAAACACACUGCUGAAAGAUAUCCGCAUGCUACCCACCUUCAGGCUGCCCCAAGACACUGCAGCCAAAAUAUACUAGGAAGAGCACUCCCAAGAAAAACACGCUUAAUCCUGACCAAUGAGAAGACGGAAGACCACACCACACUUGCAUUAGUUGUGUAUGUCAAAGCCAACAAGCGCCAGAUGAAACAAGCUGUGAAGAAGCUCUAGGACACUGACAUGGCCAAGGUCAACACCCGGAUUGAGUCUGCCAGAGAGAAGGCAUAUAUUCAACAGAUUCCUGACUAUGAUGCUUUGAAUGUUGCCAACAAAACUGGAAUAA